GAAUUUUUCGCAAUGGGCGCAAGCCUGACGAAGCAACGCCGCGUGGAGGAUGAAGGCCUUCGGGUUGUAAACUCCUGUCGACCGGGACGAAAGCAGUCUGGGCUAAUACCCCGGGCUGUUGACUGUACCGGUGGAGGAAGCCACGGCUAACUCUGUGCCAGCAGCCGCGGUAAUACAGAGGUGGCAAGCGUUGUUCGGAAUUACUGGGCGUAAAGGGCGCGUAGGCGGUUCGGUAAGUCCUGUGUGAAAUCCCUCGGCUCAACUGAGGAACUGCACGGGAGACUGCCGGGCUUGAGUUCGGGAGAGGGAAGCGGAAUUCCGGGUGUAGCGGUGAAAUGCGUAGAUAUCCGGAGGAACACCGGUGGCGAAGGCGGCUUCCUGGACCGACACUGACGCUGAGGCGCGAAAGCUAGGGGAGCAAACGGG
RNAcentral lists this ribosomal RNA (426 nucleotides) under uncultured bacterium. RNAcentral's name for it is "bacterial SSU rRNA". It matches the Rfam family "Bacterial small subunit ribosomal RNA", at positions 359 to 776 of the family's 1533-position model. The record is from RNAcentral.